AGUUAAUGAGCUUGAUUUAAGCAUAUGUUUUGAAAACAUAAUAUAGAAAUUAAAAUUUUCUAUUAACUU
RNAcentral lists this transfer RNA (69 nucleotides) under Volucella latifasciata. Its description in RNAcentral is "tRNA-Ser". It matches the Rfam family "tRNA". From Rfam's summary of the family: Transfer RNA (tRNA) molecules are approximately 80 nucleotides in length. Their secondary structure includes four short double-helical elements and three loops (D, anti-codon, and T loops). Further hydrogen bonds mediate the characteristic L-shaped molecular structure. tRNAs have two regions of fundamental functional importance: the anti-codon, which is responsible for specific mRNA codon recognition, and the 3' end, to which the tRNAs corresponding amino acid is attached (by aminoacyl-tRNA synthetases). tRNAs cope with the degeneracy of the genetic code in two manners: having more than one tRNA (with a specific anti-codon) for a particular amino acid; and 'wobble' base-pairing, i.e. permitting non-standard base-pairing at the 3rd anti-codon position. Lineage: Eukaryota; Metazoa; Arthropoda; Insecta; Diptera; Syrphidae. The record is from RNAcentral.